Molecule: ribosomal RNA, 315 nt
Filed under: Shigella flexneri
Lineage: Bacteria; Pseudomonadati; Pseudomonadota; Gammaproteobacteria; Enterobacterales; Enterobacteriaceae
Description: bacterial SSU rRNA
Rfam family: Bacterial small subunit ribosomal RNA
Source: RNAcentral
GAUGGAGGGGGAUAACUACUGGAAACGGUAGCUAAUACCGCAUAACGUCGCAAGACCAAAGAGGGGGACCUUCGGGCCUCUUGCCAUCGGAUGUGCCCAGAUGGGAUUAGCUAGUAGGUGGGGUAACGGCUCACCUAGGCGACGAUCCCUAGCUGGUCUGAGAGGAUGACCAGCCACACUGGAACUGAGACACGGUCCAGACUCCUACGGGAGGCAGCAGUGGGGAAUAUUGCACAAUGGGCGCAAGCCUGAUGCAGCCAUGCCGCGUGUAUGAAGAAGGCCUUCGGGUUGUAAAGUACUUUCAGCGGGGAGGAA